UCCCUGGUGGUCUGGUGGUUAGGACUCAGCGCUUUCACUGCUCUAGCCCAGGUUCGAUCCCUGGUAUGGAAA
This 72-nucleotide transfer RNA is filed under the name Sus scrofa (pig). It matches the Rfam family "tRNA". Rfam says of the family: Transfer RNA (tRNA) molecules are approximately 80 nucleotides in length. Their secondary structure includes four short double-helical elements and three loops (D, anti-codon, and T loops). Lineage: Eukaryota; Metazoa; Chordata; Mammalia; Artiodactyla; Suidae. The record is from Rfam by way of RNAcentral.